This 500-nucleotide ribosomal RNA is filed under the name uncultured bacterium. RNAcentral's name for it is "partial 16S ribosomal RNA". It matches the Rfam family "Bacterial small subunit ribosomal RNA", at positions 30 to 523 of the family's 1533-position model. The record is from RNAcentral.
AUUGAACGCUGGCGGAAUGCUUUACACAUGCAAGUCGAACGGCAGCACGGACUUCGGUCUGGUGGCGAGUGGCGAACGGGUGAGUAAUGUAUCGGAACGUGCCCAGUCGUGGGGGAUAACGUAGUGAAAAUUACGCUAAUACCGCAUACGAUCUAUGGAUGAAAGCGGGGGAUCGCAAGGCCUCGCGCGAUUGGAGCGGCCGAUAUCAGAUUAGGUAGCUGGUGGGGUAAAGGCCCACCAAGCCAACGAUCUGUAGCUGGUCUGAGAGGACGACAAGGAACACUGGAACUGCGACACUGUCCAGACUCCGACGGGAGGCAGCAGUGGGGAAUUUUGGACAAUGGUCGAAAGCCUGAUCCAGCCAUUCCGCGUGCAGGAUGAAGGCCCUCGGGUUGUAAACUGCUUUUGUACAGAACGAAAAGGUUUCUACUAAUACUAGGAGCUCAUGACGGUACUGUAAGAAUAAGCACCGGCUAACUACGUGCCAGCCGCCGCCGUAA